Molecule: non-coding RNA, 3157 nt
Organism: Oryctolagus cuniculus (rabbit)
Lineage: Eukaryota; Metazoa; Chordata; Mammalia; Lagomorpha; Leporidae
Source: RefSeq, a predicted model, not a curated record
UCCAGGGCUGGGUGGUAAGUGGUUAGUGGUAAGUCUAAUCUCUUUGUGAGCCCUAUUGCUGCCUGAUUUUAGAAACCAUGUAAAGCCAAUUAAUACCUGUAAAGCUAGAUUUGUUGUGAUUUUGUUUUAGCAAUACCAAUUACAUUUAGUUACUGUACCAACCUUAUGCUGUACCUGCUGUCCUUCACCUUCCUUUAUAAAUAAGGAAAUGAGAAUUGUUGGGUGAUGAGCCUCCACGGGAAACCCACACCCUCUGUUCCUGAGUCAGUUACAGAGAGAGAGAGGGAGAGGGAGAAGAAGAGGGGGAGAGAGAGAGAGAGAGAGAGAGAGAGAGAGAGAGAGAGGACUUCCAUCCGCUGGUUCACUCCCCAGAUGGCCGCAAUGGCCUGAGCUGCGCUGAUCCGGAGCUAGGAGCUUCUUCCGGGUCUCCCACACAGGUGCAGGGUCCAAGGACUUGGCCCAUCUUCUACUGCUUUCCCAGGCUAUAGCAGAGAGCUGGAUCGGAAGUGGAGCAGCCGGGACUAAUGUCCAUAUGGGAUGCCUGCACUGCAGGAGGCUGCUUUACCCACUACACCACAGCACCGGUCCCCUGUGUAUGCUUUUAAAUAAAGAAUGGCUGGGACUCUUAGGCUGUUUUUCUGUUGAUACAAGAAAAUACCAAAACUGGGUACAUUAUAAAAGAGAAAAAUUAUUUCCUUACAGUUCUGGAGGCCUAAGGGUAUGGAGCCAGCACCUGCCGGAAUUCUGCUGAAAGCCUCCUGGUGCUUCAAUGCAUGAUUGAAAAGGGGAAAGCAGGUGCAGGCUCUUCCCUCAGUGAGAGUCCAGCGUUGGGGGAGAGACCGCUUAACAACAGCCCACUCUCAGGGGACCCAAUGCAGCUUUAAGAGAGUGAGAGCUGAGGCUUUUGAGAAAAGCAUUAAUCCUUCCGGAAAGUUCCAACACCUCUCAGCACGGAGGCACGAGACACCAAGCUUCAGCAUGGAUUUUGUGUGGACAAUCCAUAUUCAAACCAUAAGCAGGAACUUAGUGUCCUGAAGUUCCAUCUAAGCCUCAAAGGAAAAAUGAUUGAGAUCCAUCUUCUCCAGCUGGGAUAGAAGCUGCAUGAGGGUGACCUUGUCCAAGGAGAUAGACACUGAAGAUGGCUCCUGAGCAGCCAGAGGAAGAGCCAACUGCUGGCCUAGAGGACAGGGAGAGAGAAGCCGCCCCUUCCUAGAGCAACCUAGGACUCUGUCCUUGCUUCCUCUGUGCUGACGGUGUCCCUGGUCAGUGCGGAGCUGCUGCGGAAGGGGAGUGCAAGAGGGAAAAAGGAGAGGCCUGGACAAAAUGACUGACGGCAGCCACUCACUCUUCACCCAGCAAAGCUUGUUUUCCUGCCCGGGCCCACGGCCAGUCUGCAUUCCCAUUUCCCUGGCAGGCAGGUGGGGCACAGGCUGAACUCUGGCCCAAAGAAGAUGAAAAGUGCUGUGUGCCACUUCCAGGCUGGCUCACGGAAACCUCCAUCACAGAGGCCUUUUCUUUGCUCCUUCUGUCUGCUGGCCCUGUGUGGAAGCCCCAGCAGACAUGCGUGAGAUCUAAGAUGCCCAAGGGACUCAUGGGACACUGUAUAAUGGAGUAGUGAAACUUCACUCUGUUUAACCACUGACUUUUAAAGGUCUGGACAAUACAACAGCAAGCAUUACUUGCCAUGUCUUCAUCUAAGGUUUGCGUAUUGAAGCAGAUUUAAACUCAAAAAUUGCUGUCUGUGGACACACAGAACCUCUACCAACCCAUGAGGGCCAGGCCUUAAUUCCACAUUGGCUAUCCUGGAUGCUAGGAGUAACAAGUAUUAUCUCCCAGCAAACCUCUACACCUUUGGCACAUCAGCUGGCUCCAGUGAGACCCUCAGAGUCUCACCUCAGGACUUCAUUCAUUGGCUCAUUGCAAUCCCUACUCCUAAGUAGUUCUCACCUCCCUAUCCUUGCAGUAUUGUGGUUUUUCCUCUGUGACUCCCUGUAGUAGAUCGACUGCUUUGCUUAUUAUGUUUUUCUCUCUUAGUCUUCUCGAAUUGUAGCUCUCUGAAGGCUAGGGUUUUGUUAUUUUGCUCAAAUACAUGUACGUAGGUAGACUCAUAGUUGAUACUCAGUAGCCAUUUAAAAAAUUUCUUGAACGAAUCAAUCAAUGCCAUCAUUUUUGGAUACCUACUGCACACUGAGCUCACUAAUAGGCCCUAAAGAUACUGUGGUGAACAAAUCAGCUCAGAACCUUCCGAAGGUGACAAGAAGAUGAAUGAUGACAAUUAAAUGGAAACUGUAUCAUGAUUACAGAGUAGUUGAGAGGGUUUGUCUGAGAUACUCCCAGGGAAGAUGAUAACCCACUAGAUGUCUGCAAUUCUCCAGAAAAGGAGCGGGGGACUCAAAGAAGGAAUUCCAGCAUAUGGAGAAAGCAGAAAACCAAGAAAAGCCCAAAUGUGCAAAUCUGGCGACAGAAUACUGUCUGACAGAGAGAAGAGCCGAAGAUAGCCUUGUGAAGCCACGUCUCAGGUGUUUGGAGUGUCCUAAGACAAGAUAAAGCUGUUUCCAGCCAGUCUGUGAGGUAGGAAAUCAGAUAUGAGCUUAUGUGUGUGUGACAAAGGCCUAAGGAGACAUUUAGGCCCAGCAUAUGCAUCUCAAAGUCAUCCCAAUAACGUUUCAGGGGCAGCCUAGUAUUUGCAUCCUGCCCUGCCCCUUUCUUCCCAAUAACCUGUCAGGUCGGGGUCCCUGCCCCUUCUGCCUGAUAUCUGCAUUUCAGAUAUCAUCCUGAUCCUCCAGGGGGUUUUGCUCAACCUUCCUCUAACCCAGGGCAGCUCCAGCCAGUUUCCCCCUGUCUGAUAACUUUGGAGAGGGGGGACUCAGAUAGGAAUUUUUCUAUUUACAUCCAAGAAGUCCUUUGUUCUAAGAGGAGCAGAGGUGGGAAGGCAAGACCCAUCCCCUUAAAAACCCCUGGCCUCAACCAGACUGCGAGCUCAAUCUACUGCCUUUAUGCUGAGUCCCCCACCUGGCCUGGCCAGGUGUGCUCUUUAUGUGACCCCGCUCUCCCCCAGCCUGAGUGACUGGGCACUCUCUCUCAGGUUCUGUCUGGAGAGGUGCCCAUCCAUUCUUAAGGAUGUCCUUUCCCUAAUAAACCUUGCUAUUUUACUUUU